AUGGGCCCCAAGAGAUUUAGGAGCCAAGCACCAAAGUUCACAGGACCCCAGGACAUUUGCUCCUCCCUCUCAGUUCUGAUCUUCAUUUCUUACCAGCCAGAAAGGAGAGUGGGGAUAAGUGAGGGCCCGCUGCAGGAGCCUGACUAUGCCCGAAAGGAAGGUGCCAGGCUGCCCCAAACGCCCUUACACCCACCUGGUCAUUUUACACGUAAGAAGACUGAGGCCAGCCAGGAGAAAUGGUUUGUUCCCCUGGCAUCGUGUGGCCGUGGAAUUCCUAGGCCAAUGCUCAGGCAAUUAGGGGACACGUGUCACCAUGAUUUGGGUGUGGGUGGGGACAGGCUACUUGAACCAGGGGAUGAGGACCACCUGGCGGCAGGCUCAGCUCUGGCCUCGGGAGAGGGGCCUGGGCUGGGCCACACCCCACACGUCCCUCUCCCCUCGAGAGCCGUGAGCGUGGGGCAUGUCUCCGAGUCUCACAAGAAGCAGAGAGGCUCUCCGAGCUGCAGCCUCUAUGGGGCUGGGAAUGUUCGGGAUUGUCAGAAGCCUGGGAGUCUUUCCCAGCGGCCCGUAUCUAUGACAACUGGACCCUGGGUAGAACCGGUCCAGGCAGCCAAGGCCAGUCGGGCACGCAGGGUUAACUCUGUAGGAAGCGGUCUCCGCCGUGGUGUUGGGGCUGCUCCCAUUUCAUUGACAGUAGCUCUGAGACCUGCCUGGUUCCACGUUACUGGAUCAGGAGGGAACGUGGCUAUUGCACGGGGCUUCGUGCGAAGUGAGCUCGGCGGACCUCAGAGCUGCCCGCCAGGAGUCCCAGCAGCCCGCGACCAACAUUCCGGCCCUUCCAUCGUCCUUUCCCCUUUUCCUGAAAGGCCCUGGGCCUCGCGAGGACCCAGCGGCCAAAGCAAGGGGAGGGGAGCGGAUACGUGGAGCAAGGACAGCCCGGGGCCGUGCGCGGUCUCUGCAUCUUUGCGCGCUGGGUGGCAGACGCCUCAGGACAGCGGGAACUGGCCAAGCGGCCCCAGACGCCUCCACCGCCUCCACCGGGAUGCUCCGCUUCCCGCUGCUGCUGGAUCUCCCCACCCCGAGGGAGGCGCCCGAGGCCGCUCAGUCCCCAGGCCUGAGGUCCUAGCGGGGCUGCUGAGGCGGGAGCGCUGA
RNAcentral lists this long non-coding RNA (1152 nucleotides) under Felis catus (domestic cat). RNAcentral's name for it is "lncRNA (ENSFCAG00000052096.1)". Lineage: Eukaryota; Metazoa; Chordata; Mammalia; Carnivora; Felidae. The record is from RNAcentral.